This 253-nucleotide ribosomal RNA is filed under the name uncultured bacterium. Its description in RNAcentral is "partial 16S ribosomal RNA". It matches the Rfam family "Bacterial small subunit ribosomal RNA", at positions 524 to 776 of the family's 1533-position model. The record is from RNAcentral.
UACGUAGGGGGCAAGCGUUGUCCGGAUUUAUUGGGCGUAAAGAGCGUGUAGGCGGCUGGGUAGGUCCGUUGUGAAAACUCGAGGCUCAACCUCGAGACGCCGAUGGAAACCCUCCAGCUAGAGUCCGGAAGAGGAGAGUGGAAUUCCUGGUGUAGCGGUGAAAUGCGCAGAUAUCAGGAGGAACACCGAUGGCGAAGGCAGGUCUCUGGGCAUUAACUGACGCUGAGGAGCGAAAGCAUGGGGAGCGAACAGG